AUUGAACGCUGGCGGCAGGCUUAACACAUGCAAGUCGAGCGGGGUGAUGGUGCUUGCACUAUCACUUAGCGGCGGACGGGUGAGUAAUGCUUAGGAAUCUGCCUAUUAGUGGGGGACAACAUCUCGAAAGGGAUGCUAAUACCGCAUACGUCCUACGGGAGAAAGCAGGGGAUCACUUGUGACCUUGCGCUAAUAGAUGAGCCUAAGUCGGAUUAGCUAGUUGGUGGGGUAAAGGCCUACCAAGGCGACGAUCUGGAGCGGGUCUGAGAGGAUGAUCCACCACACUGGGACUGAGACACGGCCCAGACACCUACGGGAGGCAGCAGAGGAGAAUAUUGGACAAUUGGGGGAACCCUGAUCCAACCAUGCCGCGUGUGUGAAGAAGGCCUUAUGGUUGUAAAGCACUUUAAGCGAGGAGGAGGCUCUUUUGGUUAAUACCCAAGAUGAGUGGACGUUACUCGCAGAAUAGGCACCGGCUAACUCUGUGCCAGCCGCCGCCGUAA
This 503-nucleotide ribosomal RNA is filed under the name uncultured bacterium. RNAcentral's name for it is "partial 16S ribosomal RNA". It matches the Rfam family "Bacterial small subunit ribosomal RNA", at positions 30 to 523 of the family's 1533-position model. The record is from RNAcentral.